GGUCCCGUGGCCCAAUGGAUAAGGCGUCUGUCUACGGAACAGAAGAUUCCAGGUUCGAUCCCUGGCGGGAUCA
Neoconidiobolus thromboides FSU 785 is the source of this 73-nucleotide non-coding RNA. NCBI's taxonomy places the organism in Eukaryota, Fungi, Entomophthoromycota, Entomophthoromycetes, Entomophthorales, Neoconidiobolaceae. The record is from the annotation of a GenBank genome assembly.